Molecule: long non-coding RNA, 5053 nt
Filed under: Manihot esculenta (cassava)
Lineage: Eukaryota; Viridiplantae; Streptophyta; Magnoliopsida; Malpighiales; Euphorbiaceae
Description: long non-coding RNA (MESC_LNC001887)
Source: RNAcentral
CAGUGGUAGACAAGAAGAGGGAUAAUAUAUAUAUUUUUUAUUUAUUUACUUAACACAGUAAAAUUAAUUUGAUAAUUUUAUCAAAGACAUACCUGUGAGAUAUACUUCAUGAAAGACCUACUAAUUUUGCAUGUAAGAAUUACUGCUUCUUUUGUAUUAAACAUGGGAAUUAGGUCUAAGUAAAAAAUAUACUAUUUAAAGCAAUAAUACAUGUUAGCAACAAAAACAAUAUUUCAACUUUACAGCUUCGCAUAUAGCAAACAAUCUUAUUUUCCAGGUUAAAAAACUAACUAAAUUAUAAAUAUAAUAUAACGAAGACCUCCAAUUAUUUCAAUCUCAACCGCAUAUUUUUGUACUUGAUCACAAUCCACAAGAGCAAGAUUUGCAAUUCCUGUCUAUAAAAUCAAGAACCAUAAUGAGAAGUUGAGGAUGAACAAAGGAAAGAGUUAAUUAAUAAACUAAACAAACAAUCACCAAAAGAGAAACAACAAGACACCAAGAAUAAAACCAUUUAGUAAGCAAAUUAACACCAUAGAAUUGCAACAUCCUAGCCAUCCAAAAAUAUGCAGUUCCAAACAAAAAAAAGCCGCCGAAUGAUACACACUCACAGUACUUUGAAAAAAUAAAUAAAUAAAUAAAACACAGACUGAAACAAAUCUAUUGGGUACCACUACCCAAAACGACAAUGCGACACGGUUUACUACGGACCAUGAUUGCCACUUGCAACAUAACUACUUCCUGCUCAUUUAAAAAGAAAAAGGAGAUCUUGGCUUUCCAUUAUCAUUUUUUUUGUUUUCCCUUUUCAUUUUUGUUUUUAUUUCUAAAAUCUCUUUCUGGUAAUAAAACACGCACGCUUAGAACCACAAGACAAAAUCCGCACUCCCGGCCUCAGCCGUAACGCGUCUUUAUAUAUUUUUUUUAAUUAUUUUUUUUUCGGCAGUUUACAGUUUGGAUACUCAUAGCCUGUAAGAUUGCUCCUUUAUUAUCCUAUUUCAAGCGCUCAUUAUUAAAUAAUUCGUCACCUUCCACAUCGGUAGGCAUCCGAAAGAAAAACACUUACUUUCCUGUCUUUGUUACUGCACUUCCAAAUCUUCAGCUUUCGUUUCUUUUCCCUGUUUCUUGGUUCACCAAUUUGUUCUUAUCCUGCUGCUCUCUUGUUGAUUUGAGCGUCUCCUGGGUGCUAUUUGAAACAAUGGGUACCAAUCUCUGUCACAACUGGGUUCAAUCCCCCACCAGCAAUAACAAGCACCGCAAAAAAUGGCGCCUCGCCUUUGAUGCCAUCUUCUUUUCCAGAACACUGCUCCAUAUUGCCAAAAACGCUGUCAAUCAGCAGUUAAAUGUCAAACUAUUACGCACUUUCUCCUACACUGCAAUAGAUAUCAAGACACAGACUGAUCGCCUUGAUAAGGUAAGUCUCUCCAAGCUUGUGGAGGAGGAAAGUCUCGACCAACUUAGAAGUUUUGGUGGUGUUGAUGGUGUUGUUGCAGCCCUGAAAAGUGAUGCAAAGAAUGGCAUAAAAGAUGAUAAUUUGGAUGUUUACGAUCGACGAAUGACCUAUGGUUCAAACAAGUAUGUAAGGCCACCUGCAAGAAGCUUCUUCUACUUUGUGUUAAAGGCCUUCAAAGAUCCCAUGAUCAUCCUCGUGGUUGUGUGCAGUGCCCUUUCACUUGGGUUUGGUAUUAGAAAGCAUGGACUGGCAAGAGGAUGGAGUGAUGGAGGCAGCAUAUUUCUUGCUGUUUUUUUAGUCAUCAUCGCAUCUUCUGUCAGCAACUUCUGGCCCAACAAGCAAUUCAACAAGCUUUCCCAAAUCAGUUACUCUAUGAAGGUGGAAGUUGUCAGAAGCGGGUGGAGGCAGCAUAUCCCAGUAGAUCAAAUUGUUGUAGGAGAUGUUGUCUGUCUAAGGACCGGAGAUAAAGUUCCCGCUGAUGGUCUGUUCUUACAAGGCCAUUUAUCAAUUGAUACUUCGACCCUGAAAAUGAACUCUGACAUCAUGGCCGUUAACCAUCACCUGAAGCCCUUUUUGUGUUCUGGCUCUAUGGUGACAGAUGGAUAUGCUCUAAUGCUUGUCACAUCUGUUGGCAUAAACACAAAAUGGGGCAAGAUGCUUAGCACAAAAUGGGAAGAUCCACAUGAAACAACACCCAUACAGGCUAGGCUGCAAAUAAUAACUUCUUUAACCAGUAAAGUUGGCUUGUUGGGAGCUUCAUUGGUUUUCCUGGUAUGGUUGGUUCAUUACUUCAAGGGGGAUAUGAGAAACGGAUAUGUGGCAGGCAAGACAGAAUUUCAUGAAGUUAUCUGUGAGAUGAUUGGGAUCCUAGCCGCUGUGAUCGCUAUUGCAGCAGGAGCAGUCGCAGAGGGCUUACCACUGGCUGUUUUAAUCACUCUUGCUUAUUCAAUGAUAAGUAUGACAAGUAACCAGGCUAUUGUAAGAAGACAUUCUGCCUGUGAGGCAAUUGCCUCAGCCACCACUAUCUGCGCGAAAUUGAAUCAUAUGGUAGUAAGAAAGUUUUGGUUAGGGCAAGGAUUCAUUGAACAAGGUGCUUCCUCACAGAUUGCGCCAACUAUCAUUAAAUUGCUUCACCAAGCAGUUGGUCUGCACACAACUCAAACCCCUUCAAAAGAUUCCUCAUUCAUUUGGAGUCCAACAGAAAAGGCGAUCAUUUGUUGGGCCACCCAAGAGAUGGGCAUGAAUACUCGGGAAAUAAAGGAAACCUGCAGCAUUCUACAUGGUGAAGCAUUUAAUUCAGCAAAGAGACGCAGUGGGUUUUUGGUGAAGAGGAAUAAUGAUAAUACAAUCCAUGUGCACUGGAAAGGGACACCAGAGACCAUACUAGCCAUGUGUUCGCAAUACUAUGACACAACAGGUAUUGCCAAAGCCAUUGAUUGUGAAACAAGGAAGAAACUGAAUCAUGUAGCUCAAGUAAUGGCAACUGAUGGACUUCAAUGCAUUGCUUUUGCACAUAGAAGAACUUCCACAGAUCUUUAUGAAAGUGGAAUAUCCCAUCAGGUAAUAGAAGAUGACUGCUUGUCCUUCAUAGGCUUAGUUGGUGUAAAGGCUCUAUGCCAGCCUGGCCUUCCAAAAGCUGUAGGAGAUUGCCAAUAUGCUGGAGUGAACAUCAAAAUGGUAACAAGAGAUGGAGCUUCAAUUGCACGAGAUAUAGCAACUGAAUGUGGGAUACUCAAGCCCGAGCAGAACAUAGAGAGUGAAGUAGUGGAAGGAGCAGAAUUUCAAAAUUACACACACGAGGAGAGAAUGGCAAAGGUUGAUAAAAUUCGGGUUAUGGCAAGUGCCUCUUCUUCUGACAUGCUUCUUAUGGUUAAAUAUCUGAGACAAAAGGGCAAAAUAGUGGCAGUUAUUGGUACUGACACAGAGGAUGCAGCUGCUCUGAGGGAAGCUGAUAUAGGCAUCUCUAUAGGGCUUCAGGCCACUGAUACAGCAAAAGAGAGCUCUGACAUAGUCAUAUUGGAUGAUGAUUUCGUUUCUGUCGUUAAUGUUUUGAAAUGGGGGAGAACUAUGCUUAACCAAAUCCAGAUAUUUGUGCAGUUCCAGCUCAGUCUGAGCAUUACUUCACUAGCGAUAGACUUAGUGACAGCAGUUUCAGCAAGUGAGCCACCGACCAUCAAAAUUACAGCAGCCAUCUCAGCUGGAGAAAUCCCUUUUGCAGCACUACAAGUUUUGUGGGUGAAGCUGAUCAUGGGUACAUUAGCUGCUCUGGCUCUUGCCAUAGGGCAACCCUCCAAGGAGCUCAUGAAGUGUCCAGUGGAUGGAAAACCUCUUAUAACCAACAUCAUGUGGAGAAAUAUAUUAGCCCAAGCUAUCUACCACAUAGCUAUCCUAUUGACCAUACAGUUCAAGGGCAAAGCAAUUUUUGGCGUGAAUGAUGGGGUAAAAGACACUCUGAUGUUCAAUACUUUUGUUCUUUGUCAAGUUUUUAAUAAAUUCAAUGCAAGAGAGCCAAAGAAGAAGAACAUCUUUAAGAGGAUACACAAGAACAAACUGUUUGUAGGCAUCAUAGGGGCAAUAAUUGUUCUUCAGGUCGUGAUGGUGGAAUUUCUAAAGAGGUUCGCAGGUACAGAGAGGCUGAAUUGGGGGCAAUGGGGUGCUAGCAUUGGAAUAGCAGCUAUGUCAUGGCCAGUUGCUUGGUAUGUCAAGUGGAUACCUGUCCCAAGCAAACCAUUUUUUAACUAUCUAAAGUGGAAACAUUAGGACAUAGAAAUACAACUAGUAAUCCUUAGGGUUUGUUUUAUAGUUUUAUGAGCAUCUGAUAGUGCCCUUGUACGCAGAACAAAACAGGGUUUAGAUUUUGUACAGUUUCAUAAAUAUAUAGUUUGUUUCCUCAAAUCAGGGUAGCUUUUACAAUGUCACACCCUUUGGUUGGAACAAAAUCAAGGCAAGGAUGGCAAAGAAGCAGAUUUUUCAUGAACAAUUAGUUUCAGCGGCAUGUAUCUAUAUGAUCCUGCUAACUAGAAUAAAGAUUAGUUGUCAAACCAAUCGUAGCAGAGCAUGUUGGUAAGAGAUUGCAUCCAUUAAUUAAGAUUAAGAUUACAAAAGGAUAAGACCAAUGAACAAGAACAGCAAAUCAAAUGGAAAAAUAGAGCUCAAGUCUUAUAUCAUUUACGUAAUGUAAUUAUCAGCAAACCUAAACAAAUCCAGUUUUGAACAAGUGUAAUAUGCUAAUUAGACUUCCUAAUCAGUGUGUAAUUUUAGCUAACAUAUAACACGCUUCUAUUGAACUGUAACAUGCUAAAAGUAGAACACAUCCUAAAUUUUUCAUUAAAGAUAAAGAAUGGAAAUUCAAUGAAAAUGGACCUGGUCGAAUGCCCGAGUAACUUUUUGAACAGGAUUAAUUGACAGACCUACUUCGGCGUCGCUCUUCUUCAGUAUCCUCCUGGGUCGUCACUCCAGCUCUUGUUCUCGCAGUGCGUUCUGAAGACUGAAGUGAUAACUUACCUACCAUGAUUGAUGGCGCACAUGGAAAUCCCUGUGAUUGUCCCCUCACCUUCAUAGAAAAAUGGGAUGGGCUCAGGGCCCAUUGUGUACAACUUUCUGGGU